This 253-nucleotide ribosomal RNA is filed under the name uncultured bacterium. Its description in RNAcentral is "partial 16S ribosomal RNA". It matches the Rfam family "Bacterial small subunit ribosomal RNA", at positions 524 to 776 of the family's 1533-position model. The record is from RNAcentral.
UACAGAGGUGGCAAGCGUUGUUCGGAAUUACUGGGCGUAAAGGGCGCGUAGGCGGCCGCCUAAGUCAGACGUGAAAUCCCAAGGCUCAACCUUGGAACUGCGUCUGAUACUGGGUGGCUUGAGUCCGGGAGAGGGAUGCGGAAUUCCAGGUGUAGCGGUGAAAUGCGUAGAGAUGUGGAGGAACACCGAUGGCGAAGGCAGCCUUCUGGGCCAAUACUGACGCUCAUGCACGAAAGCGUGGGGAGCAAACAGG